Molecule: transfer RNA, 51 nt
Filed under: Crypturopus inflatus
Lineage: Eukaryota; Metazoa; Arthropoda; Malacostraca; Amphipoda; Micruropodidae
Description: tRNA-Val
Source: RNAcentral
AAGGGGGUAAAAAUUCCUUUACAACGAAAAUAACCCGUAUGGGCCCCCUUA